GUUGAAACACCAGUUCCUAUACAAUCACCGAAGUUAAGCAACAUUGAGUCUAGUCAGUACUUAGAUGGGUGACUGUGAAUACCAGGUGAUGUCAG
Non-coding RNA from Acanthosepion pharaonis, 95 nucleotides. The record is from the annotation of a GenBank genome assembly. Lineage: Eukaryota; Metazoa; Mollusca; Cephalopoda; Sepiida; Sepiidae.